RNAcentral lists this ribosomal RNA (440 nucleotides) under uncultured bacterium. Its description in RNAcentral is "partial 16S ribosomal RNA". It matches the Rfam family "Bacterial small subunit ribosomal RNA", at positions 28 to 507 of the family's 1533-position model. The record is from RNAcentral.
GACGAACGCUGGCGGCGUGCCUAAUGCAUGCAAGUCGCACGCGGCACCUUCGGGUGCUGAGUGGCGAACGGCUGAGGAACACGUGGGGACCUGUCCGGGAGUGGGGGACAACACCGCGAAAGCGGUGCUAAUCCCGCAUACGCUCUGAGGAGGAAAGCCGAAAGGCGCUCCCGGGUGGCCCUGCGGCCCAUCAGGUUGUUGGUGGGGUAACGGCCUACCAAGCCAAUGACGGGUCGCUGGUCUGUGAGGACGACCAGCCAGACUGGGACUGGGACACGGCCCAGACUCCUACGGGAGGCAGCAGCAAGGAAUUUUCGGCAAUGGGCGCAAGCCUGAACGAGCAACGCCGCGUGCAGGAAGACGGCCUUCGGGUUGUAAACUGCUUUUGCUAGGGAGGAUAACAGACAGUACCUGGCGAAUCAGCCCCGGCUAACUCUGUG